Molecule: small nucleolar RNA, 133 nt
Organism: Chinchilla lanigera (long-tailed chinchilla)
Lineage: Eukaryota; Metazoa; Chordata; Mammalia; Rodentia; Chinchillidae
Source: Ensembl
GCAUGGUGAUGGAUUUAUGGUGGGUCCUUCUGCGUGGGCCUUUCAUAGUGUACCAUGCGAGAGCAGACUGCCGCCUCGAACCAUUGCCCAGCCUCUGCCGUGGGCUGUGAGCACUGAAGGAGGCGGUACAGUU